GGUCAAGAUACAAAGGGCGUAUGGUGGAUGCCUUGGUACCAGGAGGCGAAGAAGGACGCGGCCAGCGGCGAAACGCCACGGGGAGUUGCAAGCAAACCUAGAUCCGUGGAUAUCCGAAUGGGGGAACCCAAUAGAGGCAAACCUCUAUUAUCCCUGCCUGAAUAUAUAGGGCAGGCGAAGCCAGACCCGGGGAACUGAAACAUCUUAGUACCCGGAGGAAAAGAAAUCAAGCGAGAUUUCCAAAGUAGCGGCGAGCGAAAUGGAAAGAGCCCAAACCUGUUAUGUGUAAGCCUGCAAGCGUUGCAUAACAGGGGUAGUGGGGCAAACCGGAGCAAGAUGCAGCUUGCUCAUGGAGUUACAAAAUAACUGUUUAGCCGAAUGGAUCUGGAAAGAUCAGCCACAGGGAGUGAAAGCCUCGUAGGCCAAAAGCAGUUAUCUCCAGGUAAAGACCCCGAGUACCGCCGGACACGUGGAACCCGGUGGGAAGCAGGGAGGACCACCUUCCAAGGCUAAAUACUACCUGGUAACCGAUAGCGAACAGUACCGUGAGGGAAAGGUGAAAAGCACCCCGGGAGGGGAGUGAAAUAGAACCUGAAACCAUAUGCUUACAAACAGUCGGAGCACUAUUCAGAGGUCAGAGGCCAGAGAUCAAAGGAGCAGGAAAGGUUCUUUGAUUUGCGGCCUCAGACUUCUGAAGUGUGACGGCGUACCUUUUGUAGAAUGGGCCAGCGAGUUAUGGUAGCAAGCAAGGUUAAGUCUAAAAAGGAUGGAGCCGCAGCGAAAGCGAGUCUUAACAGGGCGUUAAGUUUGCUGCUAUAGACCCGAAACUGGGUGAUCUAUCCAUGGCCAGGGUGAAGCGAUGGUAACACAUCGUGGAGGCCCGAACCAGAGUACGUUGAAAAGUGCGUGGAUGAGCUGUGGAUAGGGGUGAAAUGCCAAUCGAACCCAGAGAUAGCUGGUUCUCCCCGAAAUAGCUUUAGGGCUAGCGUUAUAUGAUUCCUUAUGGGGGUAGAGCACUGGUUAGGCUAGGGGCCUUACCCGGUUACCGAACCUUCCCAAACUCCGAAUACCAUAAGGUAUAGUAUAGCAGUCAGACAGUGGGUAAUAAGGUCCAUUGUCGAGAGGGAAACAGCCCAGACCGCCAGCUAAGGUCCCCAAAUCUAUGCUAAGUGGGAAAGGAUGUAGGGUUGCCCAGACAGCCAGGAUGUUGGCUUAGAAGCAGCCACCAUUCAAAGAGUGCGUAAUAGCUCACUGGUCAAGUGACCCUGCGCCGAAAAUUCAACGGGGCUAAGCAUAGUACCGAAGCUGCGGAUAGCAGAAGUCGGAAGUCAGAGGUAAGAGGUCAGAAUAGGGAGAUAUGAUGGCUAUAACGAGUUAUGAAGACCAGCAUGUGUACCGAGAAGGGUAUACACUAGCAGGAUCUUGGUUAUAUAGACCAAAGUUUACAUGACAAUCUACGCCAAAGCUAUGAUAACCUGACCAAAAAACUAUACCGUCUGAUAGAAAGAUGGAGAAAAGAAGUUGAGGCAAACGGAUAAGAGUCCGACCUCAGCCCUCUGACUUCUGACUUCUGCUGUGGUAGGGGAGCGUUCUUAAUGGGCAGAAGCCGUACCGUGAGGAGCGGUGGACAAUUAAGAAGUGAGAAUGCUGGCAUAAGUAAGCGAGAAGGCAGGUGAGAAUCCUGCCCGCCGUAAACCUAAGGUUUCCUGGGGAAGGCUCGUCCGCCCAGGGUAAGCCGGGACCUAAGCCGAGGCCAAAAGGCGUAGGCGAUGGACAACUGGUUGAGAAUCCAGUGCCACCUAAAGCCGCUAUGAGCGAUGGGGUGACGCAGGAGGAUAAGUGAAGCGUACGAAUGGAAGAGUACGUCCAAGCAUUUAGGAGGCAGAGUAGGCAAAUCCGCUCUGUAGAAACUCUAAGGUGUGAAGGGGAGGGAAGCGUAGUACCGAAGUCACCGAUUCCAAACUGCCAAGAAAAGCCUCUAGCCAGGUCAGGGUGCCCGUACCGUAAACCGACACAGGUAGGUGAGGAGAGAAUCCUAAGGCGCGCGAGAGAACCCUCGUUAAGGAACUCGGCAAAAUGACCCCGUAACUUAGGGAGAAGGGGUGCUCUGUUAGCGUGAAAGCAAUUGAGCGUGAGAGAGCCGCAGUGAUCAGGCCCAGGCGACUGUUUAGCAAAAACACAGGUCUCUGCAAAAUCGUAAGAUGACGUAUAGAGGCUGACGCCUGCCCGGUGCCGGAAGGUUAAGGGGAGAGGUUAGCGCAAGCGAAGCUUUGAACCGAAGCCCCGGUGAACGGCGGCCGUAACUAUAACGGUCCUAAGGUAGCGAAAUUCCUUGUCUGGUAAGUUCAGACCCGCACGAAAGGCGUAACGAUCUGGGCACUGUCUCGACGAGGGGCUCGGUGAAAUUGUAAUACCGGUGAAGAUGCCGGUUACCUGCGAUAGGACAGAAAGACCCCGUGGAGCUUUACUGCAGCUUGAUAUUGGACUUUGGUAGUACAUGUACAGAAUAGGUGGGAGACAGGGAAAACAGGUCGCAAGGCUUGUUGGAGUCACCAUUGGGAUACCACUCUUGUAUUGCUGAAGUUCUAACCUGGCACCGUAAUCCGGUGCAGGGACAUUGUCAGGCAGGCAGUUUGACUGGGGCGGUCGCCUCCGAAAGAGUAACGGAGGCGCCCAAAGGUUCCCUCAGCGCGGAUGGAAACCGCGCGCAGAGUGUAAAGGCAGAAGGGAGCUUGACUGCGAGAGAGACAUCUCGAGCAGAGACGAAAGUCGGGCUUAGUGAUCCGGCGGUACCGAGUGGAAGGGCCGUCGCUCAUCGGAUAAAAGCUACCCCGGGGAUAACAGGCUUAUCUCCCCCAAGAGUUCACAUCGACGGGGAGGUUUGGCACCUCGAUGUCGGCUCAUCACAUCCUGGGGCUGGAGAAGGUCCCAAGGGUUGGGCUGUUCGCCCAUUAAAGUGGUACGUGAGCUGGGUUCAGAACGUCGUGAGACAGUUCGGUCCCUAUCCAUCGCAGGCGCAGGAGAAUUGAGAGGAUCUGUCCCUAGUACGAGAGGACCGGGAUGGACAGACCGCUGGUGUACCAGUUGUCUCGCCAGAGGCACAGCUGGGUAGCUAUGUCUGGAUGUGAUAAGCGCUGAAAGCAUCUAAGCGCGAAGCCAACCUCAAGAUGAGUUCUCCCACCUGGCACCUAGUGCCAGGGUAAGAUCCCAUCAAGACUAGGUGGUUGAUAGGCCGGGUGUGUAAGUGCAGCGAUGCAUUAAGCUGACCGGUACUAAUAGAUCGAGGGCUUGACCAU
This is a ribosomal RNA of Syntrophomonas zehnderi OL-4, 3296 nucleotides long. It matches the Rfam family "Bacterial large subunit ribosomal RNA". The record is from Rfam. Lineage: Bacteria; Bacillati; Bacillota; Clostridia; Eubacteriales; Syntrophomonadaceae.